UGGGGAAUAUUGGACAAUGGGGGAAACCCUGAUCCAGCGACGCCGCGUGAGUGAAGAAGUAUUUCGGUAUGUAAAGCUCUAUCAGCAGGGAAGAAAAUGACGGUACCUGACUAAGAAGCCCCGGCUAACUACGUGCCAGCAGCCGCGGUAAUACGUAGGGGGCAAGCGUUAUCCGGAUUUACUGGGUGUAAAGGGAGCGUAGACGGCACUGCAAGUCUGGAGUGAAAGCCCGGGGCUCAACCCCGGGACUGCUUUGGAAACUGUGGGGCUGGAGUGCAGGAGAGGUAAGUGGAAUUCCUAGUGUAGCGGUGAAAUGCGUAGAUAUUAGGAGGAACACCUGUGGCGAAGGCGGCUUACUGGACUGUAACUGACGUUGAGGCUCGAAAGCGUGGGGAGCAAACA
This 402-nucleotide ribosomal RNA is filed under the name uncultured bacterium. RNAcentral's name for it is "bacterial SSU rRNA". It matches the Rfam family "Bacterial small subunit ribosomal RNA", at positions 355 to 774 of the family's 1533-position model. The record is from RNAcentral.